GCAGCAGUAGGGAAUCUUCCACAAUGGGCGAAAGCCUGAUCCGAGCAAUGCCGCGUGAGUGAAGAAGGCUUUCGGAUCGUAAAGACUCUUGUUGAUAGGAGAAGAACAGUUACGUUAGUAUACUGAUCAGUACCCCUGACGUGUAUCCUAUACCAGAGAAGCCCACGGCUAACUACGUGCCAGCAGCCGCGGUAAUACGUAGGGUGGCAAGCGUUGACCGGAUUUAUUGGGCGUAAAGCGAGCGUAGGCGGUUUGUUAAGUCUGAUGUGAAAGCCCCCGGCUCAACCGGGGAGGGUCAUUUGAAACUGGUAGACUUGAGUGUAGUAGAGGAGAGUGGAAUUCCAUGUGUAGCGGUGAAAUGCGUAGAUAUAUGGAGGAACACCAGUGGCGAAGGCGGCUCUCUGGUCCGUAACUGACGCUGAGGCUCGAAAGCGUGGGGAGCAAACAGGAUUAGAUACCCUGGUAGUCCACGCCGUAAACGAUGUGUGCUAAGUGUUGGAGGGUUUCCGCCCUUCAGUGUUGCAGCAAACGCAUUAAGCACUCCGCCUGGGGAGUACGACCGCAAGGUUGAAACUCAAAGGAAUUGACGGGGGCCCGCACAAGCGGUGGAGCAUGUGGUUUAAUUCGAA
This 629-nucleotide ribosomal RNA is filed under the name Enterococcus faecalis. RNAcentral describes it as "bacterial SSU rRNA". It matches the Rfam family "Bacterial small subunit ribosomal RNA", at positions 348 to 955 of the family's 1533-position model. The record is from RNAcentral. Lineage: Bacteria; Bacillati; Bacillota; Bacilli; Lactobacillales; Enterococcaceae.